Molecule: ribosomal RNA, 397 nt
Filed under: uncultured bacterium
Lineage: Bacteria
Description: partial 16S ribosomal RNA
Rfam family: Bacterial small subunit ribosomal RNA
Source: RNAcentral
AUACGUAGGUGACAAGCGUUAUCCGGAUUUACUGGGUGUAAAGGGCGCGUAGGCGGGAUGGCAAGUCAGAUGUGAAAUCUCCGGGCUCAACCCGGAAACUGCAUUUGAAACUGUCGUUCUUGAGUAUCGGAGAGGCAAGCGGAAUUCCUAGUGUAGCGGUGAAAUGCGUAGAUAUUAGGAGGAACACCAGUGGCGAAGGCGACUUACUGGACUGUAACUGACGCUGAGGCGCGAAAGUGUGGGGAGCAAACAGGAUUAGAUACCCUGGUAGUCCACACUGUAAACGAUGAAUGCUAGGUGUAGGGGGUAUCGACCCCUUCUGUGCCGCAGUCAACACAAUAAGCAUUCCGCCUGGGGAGUACGGCCGCAAGGUUGAAACUCAAAUGAAUUGACGGGG